This 649-nucleotide ribosomal RNA is filed under the name Weissella minor. RNAcentral describes it as "bacterial SSU rRNA". It matches the Rfam family "Bacterial small subunit ribosomal RNA", at positions 62 to 686 of the family's 1533-position model. The record is from RNAcentral. Lineage: Bacteria; Bacillati; Bacillota; Bacilli; Lactobacillales; Lactobacillaceae.
UGAUAUGAAGAGCUUGCUCGGAUUUGAAGAUGAACAUUGCAAAGAGUGGCGAACGGGUGAGUAACACGUGGGAAACCUACCUCUUAGCGGGGGAUAACACUUGGAAACAAGUGCUAAUACCGCAUAAUACUGAUAACCGCAUGGUUAUCAGUUGAAAGAUGGUUCUGCUAUCACUAAGAGAUGGUCCCGCGGUGUAUUAGCUAGUUGGUAAGGUAAUGGCUUACCAAGGCAAUGAUACAUAGCCGAGUUGAGAGACUGAUCGGCCACAAUGGGACUGAGACACGGCCCAUACUCCUACGGGAGGCAGCAGUAGGGAAUCUUCCACAAUGGACGAAAGUCUGAUGGAGCAACGCCGCGUGUGUGAUGAAGGGUUUCGGCUCGUAAAACACUGUUGUAAGAGAAGAAUGACAUUGAGAGUAACUGUUCAGUGUGUGACGGUAUCUUACCAGAAAGGAACGGCUAAAUACGUGCCAGCAGCCGCGGUAAUACGUAUGUUCCAAGCGUUAUCCGGAUUUAUUGGGCGUAAAGCGAGCGCAGACGGUUGUUUAAGUCUGAAGUGAAAGCCCACAGCUUAACUGUGGAAGUGCUUUGGAAACUGGAUAACUUGAGUGCAGUAGAGGAGAGUGGAACUCCUGGUGUAGCGGGUGUG